Molecule: ribosomal RNA, 930 nt
Filed under: Phlebiopsis roumeguerei
Lineage: Eukaryota; Fungi; Basidiomycota; Agaricomycetes; Polyporales; Phanerochaetaceae
Description: LSU rRNA
Rfam family: Eukaryotic large subunit ribosomal RNA
Source: RNAcentral
GCAUAUCAAUAAGCGGAGGAAAAGAAACUAACAAGGAUUCCCCUAGUAACUGCGAGUGAAGCGGGAAAAGCUCAAAUUUAAAAUCUGAUAGUCUUUGGCUGUCCGAGUUGUAAUCUGGAGAAGCGUUUUCUGCGUUGGACCGUGUACAAGUCUCUUGGAACAGAGCGUCAUAGAGGGUGAGAAUCCCGUCUUUGACACGGACUACCAGUGCUAUGUGAUGCGCUCUCAAAGAGUCGAGUUGUUUGGGAAUGCAGCUCAAAAUGGGUGGUAAAUUCCAUCUAAAGCUAAAUAUUGGCGAAGAGACCGAUAGCGAACAAGUACCGUGAGGGAAAGAUGAAAAGCACUUUGGAAAGAGAGUUAAACAGUACGUGAAAUUGCUGAAAGGGAAACGCUUGAAGUCAGUCGCGUUUGCUAGUACUCAACCUGUCUUUUGACUGGUGCAUUUACUAGUGAACGGGCCAGCAUCAGUUUUGGUUGCGGGAUAAAGUCUAGAGAAAUGUGGCAUCUUCGGAUGUGUUAUAGUCUCUGGUCGUAUACCGUGGCUGGGACUGAGGAUCUCAGCACGCCUUUAUGGCGGGGGUUUUACCCACCUUCGUGCUUCGGAUGCUGGCGUAAUGGCUUUAAACGACCCGUCUUGAAACACGGACCAAGGAGUCUAACAUGCCUGCGAGUGUUUGGGUGGAAAACCCGAGCGCGUAAUGAAAGUGAAAGUUGGGAUCUCUGUCGUGGAGAGCACCGACGCCCGGACCAGACCUUCUGUGACGGUUCCGCGGUAGAGCAUGUAUGUUGGGACCCGAAAGAUGGUGAACUAUGCCUGAAUAGGGUGAAGCCAGAGGAAACUCUGGUGGAGGCUCGUAGCGAUUCUGACGUGCAAAUCGAUCGUCAAAUUUGGGUAUAGGGGCGAAAGACUAAUCGAACCAUCUAGUAGCU